UCGAGCGGAGACGUAGCAAUAUUGUCUUAGCGGCGGACGGGUGAGUAACGCGUGGGUAACCUGCCUUGAACAGGGGGAUAACACUGGGAAACUAGUGCUAAUACCGCAUAAUACAUUCGUGUGGCAUCACAAGAAUGUCAAAGGAGUAAUCCGGUUUGAGAUGGACCCGCGUCCGAUUAGCUAGUUGGUGGUGUAACGGACCACCAAGGCGACGAUCGGUAGCCGAACUGAGAGGUUGAUCGGCCACAUUGGGACUGAGACACGGCCCAGACUCCUACGGGAGGCAGCAGUGGGGAAUAUUGCGCAAUGGGGGAAACCCUGACGCAGCAACGCCGCGUGAAGGAUGAAGGUUUUCGGAUCGUAAACUUCUUUGAUGAGGGAAGAAAAAAGACGGUACCUCAAAAACAAGCCACGGCUAACUACGUGCCAGCAGCCGCGGUAAUACGUAGGUGGCGAGCGUUGUCCGGAAUUACUGGGUGUAAAGGGCGUGUAGGCGGGGAUGUAAGUCAGAUGUGAAACUCCGAAGCUUAACUUCGGAACUGCAUCUGANACUGUGUCUCUUGAGUGCUGGAGAGNAAAGCGGAAUUCCUAGUGUAGCGG
This 600-nucleotide ribosomal RNA is filed under the name uncultured bacterium. RNAcentral's name for it is "bacterial SSU rRNA". It matches the Rfam family "Bacterial small subunit ribosomal RNA", at positions 62 to 681 of the family's 1533-position model. The record is from RNAcentral.